Molecule: ribosomal RNA, 462 nt
Filed under: uncultured bacterium
Lineage: Bacteria
Description: partial 16S ribosomal RNA
Rfam family: Bacterial small subunit ribosomal RNA
Source: RNAcentral
GACGAACGCUGGCGGCGUGCUUAACACAUGCAAGUCGAGCGAACAGGUCCUGCGCGGGACUCUAGCGCGGAACGGGUGAAUAAGACAGGAGUAACUGGACACAGACCCUGGGAUAACGCUCUAAAAUCGGGAAUCAGAACCUAUACCCGGCAGAUUUACUUAAGCUCUGUGUUGAAAGGUGUGCGGCGUGGGAUGGGCCCGCGGCCUAUCAGCUUGUUGGUGGGUUGCUGGCUUGCCAAGGCGACGCCUGCUAGCCCACCUGUGCGUGCGACCGGCCACACGGCGCCUGCGACACGGCGCAGUCUCCUACGGGAGGCAGCAGUGGGGAAUAUUGCACAAUGGGCGGAAGCCUGAUGCAGCGACGCCGGGUGAGUGAUGACGGCCUUCGGGUUGUAAACCUCUUUCAGCAGGGACGAAGCGUAAGUGACGGUACCUGCAGAAGAAGCGCCGGCCAACUACGUG